CCCUUAGAUGUUCUGGGCCGCACGCGCGCUACACUGAUGCAUUCAACGAGUCUAAAACCUGGUCUGAUAGGGCUGGGUAAUCUUUUGAAUGUGCAUCGUGAUUGGGAUAGAUGAUUGCAAUUCUUCAUCUUCAACGAGGAAUGCCUAGUAGGCGCAAGUCAUCAGCUUGCGUCGAUUACGUCCCUGCCCUUUGUACACACCGCCCGUCGCUCCUACCGAUUGGGUGUGCUGGUGAAAUGUUCGGAUCGGCCGUUUGUCGCGGUUUCCGCGGCUCGUGGCUGAGAAGUUCAUUAAACCCUCCCACCUAGAGGAAGGAGAAGUCGUAACA
RNAcentral lists this ribosomal RNA (328 nucleotides) under uncultured eukaryote. Its description in RNAcentral is "partial 18S ribosomal RNA". It matches the Rfam family "Eukaryotic small subunit ribosomal RNA", at positions 1470 to 1796 of the family's 1831-position model. The record is from RNAcentral.